This 487-nucleotide ribosomal RNA is filed under the name uncultured bacterium. RNAcentral describes it as "bacterial SSU rRNA". It matches the Rfam family "Bacterial small subunit ribosomal RNA", at positions 1 to 519 of the family's 1533-position model. The record is from RNAcentral.
UAGAGUUUGAUCAUGGCUCAGGACGAACGCUGGCGGUGUGCUUCACACAUGCAAGUCGAACGGAGUAGCAAUACUCAGUGGCGGACGGGUGAGUAACACGUGGGAAUCUACCAUUAGAUGGGGAAUAACAGGCCGAAAGGACUGCUAAUGCCGCAUAUGUAUGUGCCUCGACAGGGGUGUAUAUGAAAGGAGUAAUCCGUCUGAUGAUGAGCCCGCGUCCGAUUAGCUAGUUGGUAAGGUAAAAGCUUACCAAGGCGACGAUCGGUAGGUGGUCUGAGAGGAUGAUCACCCACAAUGGGACUGAGACACGGCCCAUACUCCUACGGGAGGCAGCAGUGGGGAAUUUUACGCAAUGGGGGAAACCCUGACGUAGCGACACCGCGUGAGCGAAGAAGCCCUUUGGGGUGUAAAGCUCUGUCAACAGGAACGAAAAAAAUGACGGUACCUGUGGAGGAAGCAUCGGGCUAACUACGUGCCAGCAGCCGCG